Molecule: ribosomal RNA, 407 nt
Filed under: uncultured bacterium
Lineage: Bacteria
Description: partial 16S ribosomal RNA
Rfam family: Bacterial small subunit ribosomal RNA
Source: RNAcentral
AUUGAACGCUGGCGGCAGGCCUUACACAUGCAAGUCGAACGGAGCGGCGGACGGGUGAGUAAUGCCUAGGAAUCUGCCCGGUAGCGGGGGAUAACGUCGGGAAACGGGCGCUAAUACCGCAUACUAUUGGAUCGGCCGAGGUCGGAUUAGCUAGUUGGUGGGGUAACGGCCCACCAAGGCGACGAUCCGUAGCUGGUUUGAGAGGAUGAUCAGCCACACUGGGACUGAGACACGGUCCAGACUCCUACGGGAGGCAGCAGUGGGGAAUUUUGGACAAUGGGGGAAAGCCUGAUCCAGCCAUGCCGCGUGUGCGAAGAAGGUCUUCGGGUUGUAAAGCACUUUAAGUAGGGAAGCGUUACCUACAGAAUAAGCACCGGCUAACUACGUGCCAGCAGCCGCGGUAAUUC